UUUGAAUCUCAUUUUCUGAUAAGAAGCAGAAAGAUGAUGCCAAAAUGAUGAGAGAAGCAGCUGAGGGGACAGUGGAGAGGUGGCCUGGAGAGGGCUCUCAAAAAUAAGAAAGAAAAGGAAUCAGGGAGAAAGAGAGGAAGCCAGCUGUGGAAGUGCAUACCUGUGACCACAGUCGCCGGGAGUCAGAAGCAAGCGUCAGAUAACAAGUUCAAAGCUGCUAUGGUCUAUGUACAGAAUCUUAUAAUGGCUAAAGCUACAGGGUGAGACCCUACCUCAAAAAACAAAACGAGGAGUUGAGAGGUGGCUCAGCAAUUAAAAUUAC
RNAcentral lists this long non-coding RNA (322 nucleotides) under Rattus norvegicus (Norway rat). Its description in RNAcentral is "long non-coding RNA NONRATT031338". The record is from RNAcentral. Lineage: Eukaryota; Metazoa; Chordata; Mammalia; Rodentia; Muridae.